This 56-nucleotide transfer RNA is filed under the name Acinetobacter pittii. RNAcentral describes it as "tRNA-Ser". It matches the Rfam family "tRNA", at positions 20 to 71 of the family's 71-position model. From Rfam's summary of the family: Transfer RNA (tRNA) molecules are approximately 80 nucleotides in length. Their secondary structure includes four short double-helical elements and three loops (D, anti-codon, and T loops). The record is from RNAcentral. Lineage: Bacteria; Pseudomonadati; Pseudomonadota; Gammaproteobacteria; Moraxellales; Moraxellaceae.
AAGGCACCGGGUUUUGAUCUCGGCAUCCGUUGGUUCGAAUCCAGCCGCCCCUGCCA